Long non-coding RNA from Apis dorsata (giant honeybee), 1791 nucleotides. RefSeq lists it as uncharacterized. The record is from RefSeq and is a predicted model, not a curated record. Lineage: Eukaryota; Metazoa; Arthropoda; Insecta; Hymenoptera; Apidae. The transcript is spliced from 2 exons.
CAAUAAGAAGAUUGUAGGAAGUCUACGCCGCUUCCUGAGGAAUACGGUCACGAGAAAUUGUGGUUUUCGAAAAGAAAAAAAAAAAAAAAGGAAAAAAAAUCUCGAUAAAACCACAAGCCGCACGGAUUGUCCUUGAUAACCGGCUAAAUGUAUUUCAGUGAAAUACUUUUCAUUAAUGACUUCACUUAAAAGGGGCAAUAAAACGUUCUUUCCGUGGGAAAUAUUUGCUCGAUGAAACGAAUCACAAUUUCUAGGACAAUUCUAUCUCUCUUCGACGCAGCAAGAUUAAGAAAUCAUAGAAAAAAAAAAAUCCCUUCUUUAUUCUAUAAAUACACGAAACAAUCGAACACCGCAACAAACGCAUCACGAAGAAAUUUUAUUCGAGUUAUUCUUUGCAUCUCUUUACAAUUAUCGAAACGCGACUUCGAUGGCAUUUCAAUGGACACGGCGACGGAUGGAAUACAGAAAAAGCGCGGAAGAUCAACUCAGUGUAAGGGUCCGCACGCGGUCUUUCUUCUCGCAUGAAUCAGCGUCCUCCGAUUACUCGUAACGCCGUUAAUAACGCACGGUUUUUCUCGUGGGCGGUUUCCUUCCACGAAUAAUCGAGGCAGAAAGUCGAAUACUUUCGAUAACGCAACUGGUUACAUCGAAUUUUAAUGUAAUUUUGAUACUUUCAUCGUGGAAGAUAUCCCCCUCCACAGAGUUCGAUGACCGACCGAGAGAUACGAUGAAUUUUCGGAAAAUCAGCUGAUUCGAGUCGAUGGAUUACAAAGGUGAAUACGCGUGGAUGGUAUAAAAGGUAUACUUAUGAAUUCACCUUCUAUCUUCGUAACAAUGUGCGAAGACACGAUCGAAUGGUUCGUCAUCGAGACAUUAGACGGUGUCGAUAUUCCCGUGCCGUGCGACCGGAACAAUGAAGACGCAGCGAGUACAAUGCGAGUCACGGCGAUCACGUUGGCCGCGCAUGGAUGUGUCUCAGGCUCGAUGACACAAAGACGAAAAGGCGGAAACAUCGGAGACGGAUGAUAAGAGAGAAAGAAGAAGGAACGAAUGAGAAGGAGGGAGAAGGGAGAAUAGGAAAAAGAAGAUGAAACAGCGAACAAAGCAAAGGGUAGUGCGCGCAUGAUUUACGUACACGAGCAAUAGACUGUAUAAUUUAUCGAUCGAUCGAAAGCGCAUGCGCCGCUGCCCGCGCAUACGCGAUUAUGCAUGCGCGACUGCCGAACAGUACGAGUACACGCCGCGCAAUCGAUCACUGUCCACCUCGUUCGAUGACGUUAAUGAGGUUGAUCGGUAUUUAACGAUACUUUUAGCCUCUUGCAGCCGAUUAUAUGCGCCGUUUGUUUAUGCAACGGAGAAACGAUCCAGCCACGGAUUAAGACGUUGUGCGUGAAAAUUCGAAAUCCUCCUGACCGAGGACACUCAUUGGUUACAAGGCGCAAUGAGUUUAAACAACGAGUGGAUUGGCCAACCUGUCGUGUAAUGAAUCGUGCAGGAUUUUCGUUAUCCUGUGAAAAUAAGACGUGCGUGUACAAACGAGGCAUCGAAAAGAACGGCGAAAGGGGUCCACAAUCGAUCAACGUCGUUCCACAUGAUCGUGCGGAUGAACAUGAUUGGCAGAAUACACAAGUCCAUGGACAGUAGCCGUGGCUCGAAGCGUGCGCCAGGGAGGAAUAAUCUGUUUACAGGAAAAGAAGAAUGAUGGCGCGGCGUGAACUUUCGCACGGAAGUGGCUAUUGAACGACAGACGUCCCGUUUAAUAGGCUCGCCUCGACGACACAACGCAAGAAA